Molecule: ribosomal RNA, 80 nt
Filed under: Salmonella enterica subsp. enterica serovar Infantis
Lineage: Bacteria; Pseudomonadati; Pseudomonadota; Gammaproteobacteria; Enterobacterales; Enterobacteriaceae
Also listed under: 13 other names
Source: RNAcentral
GCCUGGCGGCACUAGCGCGGUGGUCCCACCUGACCCCAUGCCGAACUCAGAAGUGAAACGCCGUAGCGCCGAUGGUAGUG